GACGAACGCUGGCGGCGUGCUUAACACAUGCAAGUCGAACGGUAAGGCCCUUCGGGGUACACGAGUGGCGAACGGGUGAGUAACACGUGGGUGAUCUGCCCUGCACUUCGGGAUAAGCCUGGGAAACUGGGUCUAAUACCGGAUAGGACCACUGCCUGCAUGGGUGGUGGUGGAAAGCUUUUGCGGUGUGGGAUGGGGCCGCGGCCUAUCAGCUUGUUGGUGGGGUGAUGGCCUACCAAGGCGACGACGGGUAGCCGGCCUGAGAGGGUGACCGGCCACACUGGGACUGAGAUACGGCCCAGACUCCUACGGGAGGCAGCAGUGGGGAAUAUUGCACAAUGGGCGCAAGCCUGAUGCAGCGACGCCGCGUGAGGGAUGACGGCCUUCGGGUUGUAAGCCUCUUUCAGCACCGACGAAGCGCAAGUGACGGUAGGUGCAGAAGAAGGACCGGCCAACUACGUGCCAGCAGCCGCGGUAA
Molecule: ribosomal RNA, 478 nt
Filed under: uncultured bacterium
Lineage: Bacteria
Description: partial 16S ribosomal RNA
Rfam family: Bacterial small subunit ribosomal RNA
Source: RNAcentral